CCCGGAGAGAUUGCUGAAAAUAGAGACGCUGAGGACUCGCAUCCUCUGCUUCAGAUGGCGGACCAAGAGGAAGGCAAGGACCACCAGGAACUUCUGGACAAAAAGGCUUAGUGGGUGCUCAGGGGAAUCCUGGGCCUCCAGGGCCAAAUGGUUCAAAAGGAAAAGCUGGACCAAGAGGAGUGAAGGGAGAGAUUGGUGAUGUAGGAGAAAGAGGCCCACAGAGUCGACAAGGACCAAGAGGGCAACCUGGUGAACCUGGAUUCCCUGGCUAUCCUCGUGCACAAGGAGAAGAUGGUGACCCGGGCCAUCAAGGAGAAAAGGGGGCAAAGGGAAUAAGAGGGAAGAGGGGUAAUGCUGGCUUUCCUGGAUUUGUUGGAACUUCGGGUGACCAAGGCCCACCAGGACAAAUGGGUAUCAAGGGCCCCAAAGGUUUGGUAGAUAUGACGCCUUGCAAAAUUGUUGAUUUCACACGCGAAAACUGCCGUAAGU
This 489-nucleotide long non-coding RNA is filed under the name Pan troglodytes (chimpanzee). RNAcentral describes it as "long non-coding RNA NONPTRT011587". Lineage: Eukaryota; Metazoa; Chordata; Mammalia; Primates; Hominidae. The record is from RNAcentral.